Molecule: ribosomal RNA, 464 nt
Filed under: uncultured bacterium
Lineage: Bacteria
Description: bacterial SSU rRNA
Rfam family: Bacterial small subunit ribosomal RNA
Source: RNAcentral
UCCAGACUCCUACGGGAGGCAGCAGUGAGGAAUAUUGGUCAAUGGGCGCGAGCCUGAACCAGCCAAGUCGCGUGAGGGAUGACGGUCCUACGGAUUGUAAACCUCUUUUGUCGGGGAGCAACGAGGCCACGUGUGGCCGAAGUGAGAGUACCCGAAGAAAAAGCAUCGGCUAACUCCGUGCCGGCAGCCGCGGUAAUACGGAGGAUGCGAGCGUUAUCCGGAUUUAUUGGGUUUAAAGGGUGCGUAGGCGGAACAUUAAGUCAGCGGUAAAAUCGAGGGGCUCAACCCCUUUAAGCCGUUGAAACUGGUGAUCUUGAGUGGGCGAGAAGUAUGCGGAAUGCGUGGUGUAGCGGUGAAAUGCAUAGAUAUCACGCAGAACUCCGAUUGCGAAGGCAGCAUACCGGCGCCCGACUGACGCUGAGGCACGAAAGCGUGGGGAUCGAACAGGAUUAGAUACCCGCGUA